UACAGAGGGUGCAAGCGUUGUUCGGAAUUAUUGGGCGUAAAGCGCGUGUAGGCGGUUUAGUAAGUCAAACGUGAAAGCCCUCGGCUUAACCGAGGAAGUGCGUCUGAUACUGCUUUACUUGAGUGUCGGAGGGGAUGGUAGAAUUCCCGGUGUAGAGGUGAAAUUCGUAGAUAUCGGGAGGAAUACCUGUGGCGAAGGCGGCGAUCUGGGCAGAUAUUGACGCUGAUGUGCGAAAGCGUGGGGAGCAAACAGG
This 253-nucleotide ribosomal RNA is filed under the name uncultured bacterium. RNAcentral's name for it is "partial 16S ribosomal RNA". It matches the Rfam family "Bacterial small subunit ribosomal RNA", at positions 524 to 776 of the family's 1533-position model. The record is from RNAcentral.